Long non-coding RNA from Anas platyrhynchos (mallard), 2696 nucleotides. RefSeq lists it as uncharacterized. NCBI's taxonomy places the organism in Eukaryota, Metazoa, Chordata, Aves, Anseriformes, Anatidae. The record is from RefSeq and is a predicted model, not a curated record.
AUGUUCCUGAAGAGAGGGAGCAAGAACAAGCAAAAACAGAACAAGUUUUUCCCCAGUCCUCCAUUUUCUCAAAACUUGGAUGGAGCAUUUAUGAAAAACAUCUUUUAACCUGACAGUUUGGGCCUUCUUCUGUUCUGGGGACCAGAAUGGAAACAAACCUGGGACAGACAUGAUUCCUCUAUGGGCAGGGUAUAUAGUCACCGUACAUAAAGAGUACAAAUCAAAGGUUUAAUUUUGCUUUCUACUGAGCAAUGUCACUUUCACCAAUGAAUCCUUGUGCACUUGUUUCUCAGCAUGAAAUUCAAUGUAAGUAUAUUUGUAAAGUCGGAGCUCCCAUCAGAAAACACUUAGAGACUACAACUGGGCUCAUUUGUUUUGGACAAUGUCUGUGACUACAAUUUUUUCCAGCUUUUUUCCAUGACUGGAAAGAAUGAUCAUUACAUACAAAUAAACUGAGAAAAGUACAUCUGUUCUGCUACGUUUAAGUAAAAUGAAACAUCUGAAAACAAUACGUGUCAGAUAAUGGAUUUUGCAGGGGAAGCAAGAGUCCAGAUAACCUUAUUUGUACCCUUCUACAAAAGUAGCUGUUUGAAAAACACCAUUUAUAAGAAAAAAAUAUUUAGAAUCAAGCUGUCACUUGACCAGUCUUUUCUGAUCCUAAGAUUUCACAACUGGCAAUGGCUCAGUCCUUGUGGUUUGGUUGCUUCCUGAAUCCAAUAUAUAUUUACUCCCAUUCAUAGACAAACUGUGCUCAAAGGAGAACUGCAAACUGUCUGGACAAAGUCUGAAAUGAAACCAACUGAAUUAAAAGUGGAGUACCAACACUAUAAUAAAUAAUCACACUCACAUCCACAAACAUUCAUCUGUUCUGCCCCAAAUAAUAACUGGAGAAAAGCAAUUUAUCUACAGAAAGUAAGUCUGAACAGUAAUAUGAAACUUUUAGCUGUGGACAGUUUGUGUAAUUGUCAUUGUCAAAUUCCAGAAAAUUUUCAAUAUAUCCUAUCGUCUCCAUUGUUACUUUUUAAAUUCUACCUUGAGGACUGAAGAACAAACUUGCUGCAAAAUAUCUGCAUGGCUAAUUCCGAUAACAUCCUAGACAAUUCACUGUUAUUUGUUAUCUGGUAGUGCUACUCUCUUCUUCUGCCUACUUUCCAUGAUACAAUGCACCAAAUGGAUGUGAACGAAUACUCAUUCGCCAAAACCAGAAGAGAGGAAAAGGUAACAGUUCUCAAACAUAACAUUUCUAUGGAAGUAGCAAAGUCAGUCAACUACCAAUAAAUACCUUCCAAAAAGAUAUUCUGAGAAAUACAGUCUGAGGCUAGGGACAUAUGUAAAAGCCCUUAAAAUAACCAAAUGUGACUGCACAGCUUGCUCGGAGUAAGGUGCAAUAUUGUCAGAUCAGCACAGUAGAGAUAGUACUUCCCCUCAGCUUGUUCCAUGACACAGCAACAAAUUAUUCCCUUUUUGAGACCAUGGCUAUGCUGACUGUUAAAUUAUGGGUUGGGGUAAUGUUUCUGGUUCCUUGCUCUAAAGAAAUAAGAGAAAAAUGGCAUGGCAACUUUUAGCCACAGUGCAGCUAGAGCAGCUGUUCAUUGGAGCUGUCUGCCAGCUAUUAAAUCAGACCAUAAGCCUCAAGCAAUUAAUAUGCGAGGGACCAAUCCCAGAAUGCAGAUAAAUUUUAAAUAUAAUACAAAAAAUAUAAUUAUAUACUUGCAAUUUAUUGUAGCUGCCAAUCUGUAGGACACAAUCAGACAAAGAUUUUUUAAAUCAUAGGAAUGUUUUAUCUAAUCUUAGUCUCACAGUUGCAGUUAUACUAGAAGAGUUCAGUAAAGACGAAGCUGACUAUGAAGUAUCCACGCUUCUGUGCAGAUACAAGCGCAUCUUACUCAAAAGCCCCGUAAAGAAUCUAGCACAUCUUGUUCUGAGUUAUUUUGCAUGGGAAAGAAGGUAGUUUCUAAUAGAAAGAAAAGCAUUAUAUGACAGUAAUAACAAGAAAAAAAAGACAGAUCAAAAGCAAAGGAAAUUAUAAGGACACAUUGCAUAUAAAUUAAUACUGGUUUUGUUCUUAAAGUAAACGUUUAUGUUGUUAUCAUGAUUUCAAUGGGAUCUAGGUUCUGGAACACAGAACUCCAGCAUCUCUAGAAUGGCUGAAUUUCUUUGGUUUCUUCAAACAACUGAGUAACACUAAGGCAGCAAUACCUUCCUUCGUUCCUCUGUAUAAUUCAUAUCAUUAAUGGAAAUGUUUUUAUCCUUGAUACAGCAACUUCAUAUCUGCUAUUACUCUUAUAGUUUGUAUUUUUGAAUGCAUGACUGGUAAAGAGAACAGAAUUCAGACAGCUGGGUGACCCUGUGCAAAAGACCUAGCUACUUCCAAGUACAGGUGGCAAUUGAUGGGAAAUAUUUGCAUUUACAUUCAAUACCAGUAUGCUAUCUUAACAUGCUGACAUUGUAAUCACUGUGAAUAAGUCUUGCAUCUGUCAAGAAUCUCUUUAGGCUUCCUAGACAUAAAGAACAUUGUGCCUAUUUGUAAUGUAUUCAAAUACUAAUGACAGCUUAAAAUUUCUUUGGACUGGCUGUUUUUGAAAAGGUGCUGAAAAUAGGUGAAACUUCCACCUUCAUUUUCUUUAUGUGCUAUGCUGCUGUGUCUACAUUUUCCAGAAGCCUCCCCCUCUUUCUUUUGCUAAACAAUCUAAUUU